This is a long non-coding RNA of Vespa velutina, 727 nucleotides long. RefSeq lists it as uncharacterized. The record is from RefSeq and is a predicted model, not a curated record. Lineage: Eukaryota; Metazoa; Arthropoda; Insecta; Hymenoptera; Vespidae. The transcript is spliced from 2 exons.
GGAAUAAUUUUCUAUUCAAUCUUUUGAUUUAAUUUAAUGUAAUAUAAAAAAAAAUUUGAAAGGAUAAUUAAAUUUUCUUCAAGAUUGUUGAUUAUAGCACUAUCAAAAAAUGUCAUUACUAAAUAAAAUCAAAAAUAUACGUAUAUAAGUGUUCAAUGCCAAAUACGUUUCCGACAUAAACGAACAAGUAAAAAAAUUUGAAAUAAUAUAGAACAAAUGUGUCAGUGAUAAAGUGUCAAUGUUAUUUACUUGUAGAAUUGAAGCAUGGCACCGGUCACAGCCAUACCACCUGGCACCUGAAAGGACAUUCUACCAAAGACAUUUUGUAGAUCGCCAGUGUCCGGAUGAAAGGCCGACUCGUAGAGCUUCUUAGCAUAGAUGAUUUCUUUUCUGGUGGUACCAGCUGGCUCAUUUCCAAGUCUGCAAAACAAUCGUACGAUGAUGACAAUCCGAUGAUCCUUCGAAAAUAUUUGAACAAUUUCGAGGGGAAGAAAAAAAAAAAAAGAGAGAGAACAAGAAAAAAAAGAAGGAAAGAAAAGGGUGCCGAAAACGCUCGAUAUGAACGCGCAUUUCUCGGAGUUGCGCAAUGUUAUUGACACUAUCGUAGUAGAGGAUCCAUUUGUGUAACGCAUUUAUCCAAGUGUUCCAUAUGCAUCGACUUGCAAAAUUACUAUCAUUCGCGAAAAUCCAGAAGAGAGAAGGGGAUGGGUAGAGAGAGAGAGAGAGA